This 421-nucleotide long non-coding RNA is filed under the name Ananas comosus (pineapple). RNAcentral describes it as "long non-coding RNA (ACOM_LNC005317)". Lineage: Eukaryota; Viridiplantae; Streptophyta; Magnoliopsida; Poales; Bromeliaceae. The record is from RNAcentral.
UAUAUAAUGAUUAUGCUCUAUCAUGGCAACCAAGUAUACAAUGAUGCAAUAAGUAAACUAUCAAGUAUACUACAUGUCUCAACACUAUGCUAUAAGCAUGUCAUAGUAAUCCAACUACUAAUCCUAUCUAGUAGUGAUUAUCAUCUCUCGAUUAAAUAUCAUUGUUUCCAACAUGUUCUAGGACCUACAUAUUGUAGUCCAGCUUGUGCCACCUAAGUGUCGGUGGUAGCUCCAGCAUUCUCACUCUAGGAAUGAGUCUAUCCCUCCCGACCCCGUAGGUUUCUCGAUACCACACGAGCGAGCAUAAGUCGCGUAGGCCAACUCCGGAGUGCCGGCUUGUAGGGAGCGACCCUCACAAGCAUGUGCGAAUGAGCACAAAUGGCAAACAAGCGUAAUCAUCGUCUCAAAUACCCAAUCAUCA